UUAGGAAUUUUGCGCAAUGGGCGAAAGCCUGACGCAGCAACGCCGCGUGAGGGAAGAAGGCUUUCGGGUUGUAAACCUCUUUUAGUGGGGAAGAAAAAAAUGACGGUACCCACAGAAAAAGCACCGGCUAACUACGUGCCAGCAGCCGCGGUAAUACGUAGGGUGCAAGCGUUACUCGGAAUUAUUGGGCGUAAAGCGCGUGUAGGCGGCUUCGUAAGUCUGAUGUGAAAUCCCUCGACUCAAUCGAGGAAGUGCAUCGGAUACUGCAGAGCUAGAGUACAGGAGAGGAGAGCGGAAUUCCUGGUGUAGAGGUGAAAUUCGUAGAUAUCAGGAGGAACAACAGUAGCGAAGGCGGCUCUCUGGACUGUAACUGACGUUGAGACGCGAAAGUGUGGGGAGCAAACAGG
This 407-nucleotide ribosomal RNA is filed under the name uncultured bacterium. RNAcentral describes it as "bacterial SSU rRNA". It matches the Rfam family "Bacterial small subunit ribosomal RNA", at positions 355 to 776 of the family's 1533-position model. The record is from RNAcentral.